UCUGGUGACUAUAGCAAGGAGGUCACACCUGUUUCCAUGCCGAACACAGAAGUUAAGCUCCUUAG
RNAcentral lists this ribosomal RNA (65 nucleotides) under Staphylococcus aureus. The record is from RNAcentral. Lineage: Bacteria; Bacillati; Bacillota; Bacilli; Caryophanales; Staphylococcaceae.